RNAcentral lists this long non-coding RNA (337 nucleotides) under Glycine max (soybean). Its description in RNAcentral is "long non-coding RNA (GMAX_LNC002666)". Lineage: Eukaryota; Viridiplantae; Streptophyta; Magnoliopsida; Fabales; Fabaceae. The record is from RNAcentral.
CACCCCAUAUACUCCUAAGAGUGAUGGUAAAAAUUAUACCAUGUUGCUUGCUCUAAUCCCUCACCUAGGUGCUAAAACUAUCAUUACCUGGUCCUACAUAAGCACUCCCAGGAAGAGACUUAUCCCAAACCUCCUUCAUAAACAGACAAGCGUAAUCCUUCUUGCGUUAUUUAAAAGAUUACUUUUCCAACUCAAAAGCUUUCCAUUCAACCUUUCAAUCAGACUUGAAAAAUUUCCACGAGACUCUUGAAAAAUUUUAAAGCCCACAUAUCUAUCCAGCUUAGAAGUAAACUGAAUAUUUGUUGCUCUAACAAUAGCCUCCUUCGGCCUAUUGCUC